Molecule: long non-coding RNA, 1243 nt
Organism: Ctenopharyngodon idella (grass carp)
Lineage: Eukaryota; Metazoa; Chordata; Actinopteri; Cypriniformes; Xenocyprididae
Exons: 2
Source: RefSeq, a predicted model, not a curated record
GAGCCAUUGACAUCCUAGUAAUUGAAGAAAAUACUCGCGGAGCAGAAGAUACACAAAGAAUGCCAUCAGAAAGCAAAUUUGUAUCAUUUUGAGCUUCCAAGUGGCGUCAGCUUUUUUACAUCAAUCUAUCCGAGCUUUCGCAUUAUGAUAAGUGGCGCUCACAAUCUGAAUUCUCCUCCAAACAUGAUCGGAGAUUUCUCUUUAUACAAACUUGAGAGCUCAGUUUGACAUGUGUGAUGUCAAAGGUUAGGCUACAAUUUCACUUUCACGGUUUGUGCUAAAAAUCAGAAGAAUGUGAUCAAUUCAUUUGGUUUGAAAUAACGGCGCCAAACCAUCAAUUUGAACUGCAACUCAGUGUGUUCUAAUUAAACCGAAGCAAAACCGAAUUGGCGUUUAGUUUAAAUGACAGUCUAUUUCUUUUUUAAUCUUUACAAAAGUAUGGAACAGUUUAUAAACUCUUAAAACUAAUCUUAAACUACCGGUUUAGUAAAUGAUUGCUUGCGCGUAGGCUUAUUUGCUUUACUUACAAGAUGAUAUCAUCAUAAAUUUAAAAUUCGUGGCGUAUUUUUCAGUAUGCAAAUUGAGGACCCCUUAAACCUGUAGAAUAUGAAGUCAGAGGGCAUGGCCAACAGCACAAAACAGCCGUGUGUUUCCAGCUCCACAGUCCGCAGAGAGCAACGUGACAUUUUUGUUUUUGUGUUAAAAAAGAGCGAAUGAAGGAAAGUUUCUAAAUUGUGAAUAUUCGUAUAUUUCCUGCAUUUUUUUUUUUUUUGCCUAAGGAGUCACAGACAGAAGUUGGAAAUGAAAGCGCACAAAAUAUGCCAGGUGUACAUGUGGCACCGUGGCGCUCUCGAGGACGCAUUCCAGCCUGUGAUGAGGUGAAAGGUCCAACGCAAGUGACAGAGCACUUAAACAGCCUUUCUUCUGCUGUCUCCCGCAAUUAAUGUUAUUGAAGGACUGAAAUGAUGCUAAUAGUUAGACAGAAAGCCUCUGGCUGUGUGGAAAUACAUGUAUCUAAUCAGUUUGCCAUUGCAUUUUAAUGGAAUUGCGUUUAUAAAAAUGUGUAAGUUAAAAAGAUAAUCUGAAGAAUUCCCUGCAGUGAUGUGAAAUGAGGUGAGGUCUGAAUGAAUGAUGAUAAAAUCAUUAGCCUUUGUAGCCUCACUGUUUUAAUACCUUUACAUAUUUCUUCAUGAGCUCCACGAACAGAUUUGUUUGACUUAAUAAAGACUCGAACUGAAUUGUA